Molecule: long non-coding RNA, 1242 nt
Filed under: Homo sapiens (human)
Lineage: Eukaryota; Metazoa; Chordata; Mammalia; Primates; Hominidae
Description: HSALNT0361210
Source: RNAcentral
UACGUGAAUUCACCUACUCACUAAAAAUUAUUUAUAGCUCCAAAAGUGAUACUCAUGUUGUCCUCAGGAUCAUUCAUAGGCCUGCUUUAGGAAUGAAGGAGACUGUAGCCUGAAAGCCCCUGCAGGUCCCGUUUUCAUCUGAUUGGAAGCUGAUGAGCAUGAUGCUGGAGGGGCUCAGCACAGGGGUGGGGACAUCAUAGCCACACAGCCGAGCUUGUUGAAGGCCAGCCCAGGCAUGACAUUGUCAAGCACCCAGCAGAUAGCCAUGGCAUUGGAGAGAAGAAAAAAAGAAAAUCAUCCUUCAGACUCUGAAAUGAAAGCUGAGAAGACACGAAGUUACAUCCAGAGUAAACAAUCUGAAUGAAUUACCUGACUUUGAUUCAGCAGAGAAAUUUGGAUUGCUCAACUUGUUCUGGAUUCUCCUGAAUCAAGACUGAAAUUUGUUGUGCCCCUUGGAGACCGUGUCUUUCUACCCAGCGGGAUAUAGCUGGCUCCUCUUCUCACCUGCUUUGUCCUGUUGCCACUAUAUUUCCAUGCCUCACUGCAAAAUUCUGAGAAGGCACAGAUUUGGUUGAAUCUGCUGACAUGGAACUUGCAGAUACGGAGGCCUGGCUGCAUGUAGAUCCUGGCUUUUGCAGACUUACUAUACCUGGAUCUACGCCAGGGAUUCUCAUUGUUGGUACUAUUAACCUUUUGGGUGGGAUCAUUCUUUGUUGUGGGAGGCUGUCCUGUACUUUGUAGGAUGUUUAGCAGCAUCCAAGUCCCCUACCCACUGGACACCAGAGCCACUCCUCAGCUCUGCCAGUUGUGACAAUUAAAAAUGUCUUCUGAUACUGUCCCUGGGGACAAAAUUGCCCCUGGUUGAUAACUACUGAUCUGUUAUAGUUUGCUGGAUUUUUUUGAGAAGUAAGUGGUGCCAUCGUGUAAUGGUGAGCACUCUGGACUCUGAAUCCAGAGAAGUAAGUGGUGAAAGCAUAUCAUCAACUGAGAUAGUUUCAAUUAAAGGCCAGUUUGAGAAGGUCUAGGAUGGAUGGAUUCAUUUUUCAUUGAAUAUCUGCAUGCUGCUCCACAUACCAUAUUUUACUCUUGUUUUAUUUAGACUUGGUAAACCUCACAAUCCUUGUGUGCUACACUGAGAACAGAGGUAGAGCCUGUUGGUUCAGGUGCUCUGAUUUGCCAGGACUCUGCUGAUGCUGUCUCUGGCCCUAGCAGAAUGGCAGCUUCUUAACCUUGUGUGAUGGC